This 450-nucleotide ribosomal RNA is filed under the name uncultured bacterium. Its description in RNAcentral is "partial 16S ribosomal RNA". It matches the Rfam family "Bacterial small subunit ribosomal RNA", at positions 338 to 795 of the family's 1533-position model. The record is from RNAcentral.
CCUACGGGUGGCAGCAGUAAGGAAUAUUGGACAAUGGCGGAGACGCUGAUCCAGCUAUCCCGCGUGCAGGAUGAAGGACCUAUGGUUUGUAAACUGCUUUAGACUGGGGCGAAAAAGUGGGAUUUAUCCUACAUUGACGGUACCAGUAAAAUAAGCACCGGCUAACUCCGUGCCAGCAGCCGCGGUAAUACGGAGGGUGCAAGAGUUAUCCGGAAUAAAUGGGGCGAAGGCGUGUUGCGACGGCUUGCGUGAAAGGCCACGGCUUAACCGUGGGAUUGCGUUUGAUACUGGCGAGCUUGGAUUAGGACGAGGUUGGCGGAAUGUGGCAAGUAGCGGUGAAAUGCAUAGAUAUGCCAUAGAAUACCGAUUGCGAAGGCAGCUGACUAGACCUAUAUUGACGCUGAGGCACGAAAGCGUGGGGAGCGAACAGGAUUAGAUACCCUAGUAGUC